Molecule: microRNA, 21 nt
Filed under: Arabidopsis thaliana (thale cress)
Lineage: Eukaryota; Viridiplantae; Streptophyta; Magnoliopsida; Brassicales; Brassicaceae
Description: ath-miR160c-3p
Gene: ath-miR160c-3p
Source: miRBase by way of RNAcentral
CGUACAAGGAGUCAAGCAUGA